This 75-nucleotide transfer RNA is filed under the name Dongia sedimenti. RNAcentral describes it as "Rhodospirillaceae bacterium R-7 tRNA-Lys". It matches the Rfam family "tRNA". From Rfam's summary of the family: Transfer RNA (tRNA) molecules are approximately 80 nucleotides in length. Their secondary structure includes four short double-helical elements and three loops (D, anti-codon, and T loops). The record is from RNAcentral. Lineage: Bacteria; Pseudomonadati; Pseudomonadota; Alphaproteobacteria; Rhodospirillales; Dongiaceae.
GGGCCGGUAGCUCAGCGGUAGAGCAACUGACUUUUAAUCAGUAGGUCCCGGGUUCGAACCCCGGCCGGCUCACCA